RNAcentral lists this ribosomal RNA (208 nucleotides) under uncultured bacterium. RNAcentral's name for it is "partial 16S ribosomal RNA". It matches the Rfam family "Bacterial small subunit ribosomal RNA", at positions 568 to 775 of the family's 1533-position model. The record is from RNAcentral.
CGUGUAGGCGGCUUAUUAAGUUGGAUGUGAAAGCUCCCGGCUCAACUGGGAGAGGACGUUCAAGACUGGUAGGCUAGAGGGCGACAGAGGGAGGUGGAAUUCCCGGUGUAGUGGUGAAAUGCGUAGAUAUCGGGAGGAACACCAGUGGCGAAGGCGGCCUCCUGGGUCGCACCUGACGCUCAGACGCGAAAGCUAGGGGAGCGAACGG